AAAAAUAAAUCACUUUAAAUUCAUGUGAAUAACCACGUAAAUGGAUAUUUUUUGAAUUUCAACAUACAUCAUGUGAUUCCUAUAAUCAUCAUAUUGUAACCAUGUAGGCUUUAUGUGAUUGACACAUAAUCUUCAAGUGAUGCGAAUAUUAUAGUCGAAGCUCAGUUUACGUACAUUUCCUAUGUGAAAAAUCAAAUGACAAUGUGUUUAAGAAUUUGUUGAAUGCAGCACAUAAACCUUCGCAAGUACGUCGCUAAAUAUUACUCAAAGAGAUUGAAAUAGGCUGUGAACAAAAGUGGAAGUAAAUUUUCAUAUUUCGCGUUUUUUACCAGUGAAGCUCUCGCAGUAAUGGGUGAAUUAAACGGAAUCGACGGAAGCUGUUCACCGUGGUGCGGGAAGCGGUCGAUCGACGCAGUCAUUCGCGGAAUCCACACGCCCGUGACCUAUGGCGAAUUUUCUGUUGAACACACCCAGGUGCUCUUCGAAUCGCACGACGAAGUUGGAGUUUAUUGUGGAAAAGCUAAAAUCCCAGGAGGCAGCACACAAGAUUUAAAGUUUAAAGAUAAUAAAUACUAUUUCUCUUCAUUUACUA
This is a long non-coding RNA of Topomyia yanbarensis, 592 nucleotides long. RefSeq lists it as uncharacterized. The transcript is spliced from 2 exons. The record is from RefSeq and is a predicted model, not a curated record. NCBI's taxonomy places the organism in Eukaryota, Metazoa, Arthropoda, Insecta, Diptera, Culicidae.